RNAcentral lists this ribosomal RNA (549 nucleotides) under uncultured bacterium. Its description in RNAcentral is "bacterial SSU rRNA". It matches the Rfam family "Bacterial small subunit ribosomal RNA", at positions 80 to 625 of the family's 1533-position model. The record is from RNAcentral.
UUGCUCCGCUGACGAGUGGCGAACGGGUGAGUAAUAUAUCGGAACGUGCCCUAGAGUGGGGGAUAACUAGUCGAAAGAUUAGCUAAUACCGCAUACGAUCUACGGAUGAAAGUGGGGGAUCGCAAGACCUCAUGCUCAUGGAGCGGCCGAUAUCUGAUUAGCUAGUUGGUAGGGUAAAAGCCUACCAAGGCAUCGAUCAGUAGCUGGUCUGAGAGGACGACCAGCCACACUGGGACUGAGACACGGCCCAGACUCCUACGGGAGGCAGCAGUGGGGAAUUUUGGACAAUGGGCGCAAGCCUGAUCCAGCAAUGCCGCGUGAGUGAAGAAGGCCUUCGGGUUGUAAAGCUCUUUUGUCAGGGAAGAAACGGACUGGGUUAAUACCUUGGUCUAAUGACGGUACCUGAAGAAUAAGCACCGGCUAACUACGUGCCAGCAGCCGCGGUAAUACGUAGGGUGCAAGCGUUAAUCGGAAUUACUGGGCGUAAAGCGUGCGCAGGCGGUUAUGUAAGACAGAUGUGAAAUGCCCGGGCUUAACCUGGGAACUGCA